This 512-nucleotide ribosomal RNA is filed under the name Lankesterella sp. (in: apicomplexans). Its description in RNAcentral is "SSU rRNA". It matches the Rfam family "Eukaryotic small subunit ribosomal RNA", at positions 403 to 914 of the family's 1831-position model. The record is from RNAcentral. Lineage: Eukaryota; Apicomplexa; Conoidasida; Eucoccidiorida; Lankesterellidae.
ACGGCUACCACAUCUAAGGAAGGCAGCAGGCGCGCAAAUUACCCAAUGAAAACAGUUUCGAGGUAGUGACGAGAAAUAACAAUACAGGGCAUUAUGUGCUUUGUAAUUGGAAUGAUGGGAAUGUAAAACCCUCUCAGAGUAACAAUUGGAGGGCAAGUCUGGUGCCAGCAGCCGCGGUAAUUCCAGCUCCAAUAGUGUAUAUUAGAGUUGUUGCAGUUAAAAAGCUCGUAGUUGGAUUUCUGUCGUGAUUAUCCGAUACCGCCUGUACAGGUGUGCAUCUUGGAUGUAUCAUGACAUACUUCUGGACAUCUGACAGCUCUUAAUUGCGUUGUCAGGUACCUCCGGAACUUUUACUUUGAGAAAAAUAGAGUGUUUCAAGCAGGCUUGUAGCCCUGAAUACUGCAGCAUGGAAUAAUAAGAUAGGACCUUGGUUCUAUUUUGUUGGCUUCUAGGACUAAGGUAAUGAUUAAUAGGGACAGUUGGGGGCAUUCGUAUUUAACUGUCAGAGGUGA